This 202-nucleotide long non-coding RNA is filed under the name Gossypium barbadense (sea-island cotton). RNAcentral describes it as "long non-coding RNA (GBAR_LNC019947)". Lineage: Eukaryota; Viridiplantae; Streptophyta; Magnoliopsida; Malvales; Malvaceae. The record is from RNAcentral.
GCAAUUUUACGUUCAAUUAACGGAGAAGGGGCGGACUACCUUUGUAAUAUACGUUUCGAACAGUGGGCACAAGCAUACGACGACGGCCUAGAUAUGGCCAUAUGACGUCGAACCUAGCUGAAUGCAUAAAUUCUGUUCUUAAAGGAAAGUGUCAUCUACCGAUAACAUCGGUUGUGCGAGAGACAUAUUUUCGUUUGGCGGG